This 75-nucleotide transfer RNA is filed under the name bacterium. RNAcentral describes it as "tRNA-Val". It matches the Rfam family "tRNA". Rfam says of the family: Transfer RNA (tRNA) molecules are approximately 80 nucleotides in length. RNAcentral also lists the same sequence under 2 other names. The record is from RNAcentral.
GGGCGAUUAGCUCAGUGGCAGAGCGCCUCGUUCACACCGAGGAGGUCGGAGGUUCAAGUCCUCCAUCGCCCACCA